RNAcentral lists this transfer RNA (74 nucleotides) under Caldalkalibacillus uzonensis. RNAcentral's name for it is "tRNA-Gly". It matches the Rfam family "tRNA". Rfam says of the family: Transfer RNA (tRNA) molecules are approximately 80 nucleotides in length. Their secondary structure includes four short double-helical elements and three loops (D, anti-codon, and T loops). Further hydrogen bonds mediate the characteristic L-shaped molecular structure. tRNAs have two regions of fundamental functional importance: the anti-codon, which is responsible for specific mRNA codon recognition, and the 3' end, to which the tRNAs corresponding amino acid is attached (by aminoacyl-tRNA synthetases). tRNAs cope with the degeneracy of the genetic code in two manners: having more than one tRNA (with a specific anti-codon) for a particular amino acid; and 'wobble' base-pairing, i.e. permitting non-standard base-pairing at the 3rd anti-codon position. The record is from RNAcentral. Lineage: Bacteria; Bacillati; Bacillota; Bacilli; Caryophanales; Bacillaceae.
GCGGGCGUAGUUCAGUGGUAGAACUCCAGCCUUCCAAGCUGGUAGCGUGGGUUCGAUUCCCAUCGCCCGCUCCA